This is a long non-coding RNA of Megalops cyprinoides (Indo-Pacific tarpon), 253 nucleotides long. RefSeq lists it as uncharacterized. The transcript has 3 exons. Lineage: Eukaryota; Metazoa; Chordata; Actinopteri; Elopiformes; Megalopidae. The record is from RefSeq and is a predicted model, not a curated record.
AGGCGGGAGCUGUGUCGGAGGAGGGACAGAGUACUGCAGUAGGGGUGGAGAGAACACCUAAAACGGAGGGAAGAGGGAAAAUGGAGCUGGUGCAGAGCCGCCCGCAGCGUUGCAGCGCUCAUACAGACAGAGGCCACCGAGAGCGAUGCUGGCUGUCCAGGCGGGUGGCCGUUUUUCUGCUCAUCGCGGUGCUGGUGAAGGGGCUACUCCUGGCCUUAGUCCUGUCACUGUUCAGCACGGGCGCGCCAGGGAC